AAAGAGCAUUCCCUCCACGAGCGAGGAGACACCAUUCGAGAAGCUAUCUUCAGAUACUGCUUUAAUCCUAAGAUUUCACAACAUAACACACUGGCACUACAAGAACUAAAUAUGCACAGUGUAUUAACAGGGUGACGAAAUGUGAACGAAAUGCGGAUUGAAGAAAUUUUUGGAUGUCUUCCAUCGUAACACUUGGAAAAUCUGCCUCAAAUGUUUUCAACCGGAAAUGACACAGCCUAUUUAUAGCGACGCAGGUCAUCGUCGUCCUCGGCACAUCAGACAACACACAGAAGAUCCUUCGUUUAAGCCACUCAAUAAUACAUAUGGAGCCGCCCGGGGGACACAGACGGCGAUGCACAUUUGGACAGAAAGGCAACCUGGCUGGAAAGGAGUUUGAAUGCUGAAAGAAAUGGAAUUACGUAUUGGAAUUACAGGAAGUGAGCAAAGAUGAGUUCACUCAGGAUACAGCACGAGUUCUCCUUGCCGUCCGUUUUUUUGUUGCAGUGUUCUUACUUUAGCUCUAAUUUUUUUUAAAGGUCCUGCUUCUAUAUGUUUCGAUAAGAUCAAUAAGGGCCCGAAUCUGUGAAUAUGGCUUGCACUGAAAGGUACCUACUGGGCCAUCUCCCAAAGCCUGAAGCAUGCCUAGCUUCAGCAUAUCAUUUCCCCAAGGCGAUUUCAACAUAUAUGUCAACUGCUAAGGAUACAGUUUGCAUCCAAAGAUGAUAUCAGUCAUGUUUGUAAAACAUGACUUACAAAGAACCCCUGAACCUCUGAAAUGCAAGGGAACUUUUUAUUAACUGCAUUAUUAUGACUUAAUGCUCUGUAUAAGGCCCUUACAGUCUCUCGCAUUAACCCCAGCAUAUGACACUAAAAUCCUGUAAGGGUGAGUGGGUUUGCCUAAACUUCAUGUUCCAUUGUUUUGAAGUGAUCCAGACAUUCUUUGAAUUUCUGAGCCUGGGGUUUGCCUAAGAUGGAUUUAUAGUUUUUCUCUCUUUUUUUAUUCUGCAGUAAGAACAUUUGUAGGCAAACAGAUAAUUUCUGUUACCAUUCAAAGGCUGCUUUUUUCCCUGCCGAAAGUGACCCGUUGGGAUUUUUCUCCAUCUGUGGCAGGCUGACCCAGUUUAGCCCACGGCCACAUCCAACUGUUCCGCGUCCCAAACAUAUGUGCUCUGGCAGGGGGAUAAGCGAUCAUCACGGCGAGAGGCUGUGGAACGCGCGCUGGAGAUAUGACACUGGACCCGCCGAGCUUCUGCCUUCCUUCAGCAUAUGUCACCGGCACCCCCAGGAAUUGCAGACUGGAAACGGAUACAAGAAACAGCUCUGCAGAGAGGCUGAAAUCAUUUGUAUAGGGCUGUGUAUGUGUGUGUGUGUCUGUGUGUGUGUUUGGCCUUGACAUACAAGGAUCACACUAUUGAAAGCGUACUCCCCUGACUGACCUGUGACACUGUGAGGAGGGGGAGCUCUGGCAGAUGGUAAUAUCUGGCAGAAAAAGCAAGGAAAUCGACUGGGUAGUAGAGCAGCUUACUGGCUCGAACAUCGGUACUGGACCUUUUCGCACAUGCCCUGUAUGCUGUGUGUGGAUGGUGUCAGUGCAGAGGGCUAAGGCCACGGGGGACCUGGGUGUGUGUGACACACAUACGGGAGAGCAUGCUGUUAACGGGGACAGGCCGUGGCCGCUGUUCGGGGUCCUCCGCGGCCUCGUUUAUGGAGCGUGUAACUCGGCUGCCUGUGACCUUACCCAAUGACGCGACUCAAUCUGAAUGGAAAUGGCGCGAGGGUGCCGGGCUGACGGCUGGCGCCACGGCAACACUGAGGGAGAGAUUAAAGGUGACUUGAUGAAUGGAGGUGAUGGUGAUAACAGUGAAGGUGAGCACUCCAGUUCCCCCCCAGCCUGCAUGCUGACUUUGGGCCUGCUUCACUGGCUAUUAAAGGUUUGAAGGCAGGCUGUGCCUGCUGAUAGGUUUCCCACUAAUGAGUUAUUGAUCCCUUUCUUUUCCUUCAACUUCCAUCCAAGGCAACAGAAACAAUCCGAUUGGAAAAGGCAGACAAUUAAGACUUUCGCAAUCUGACUUUCAGACAGUGUAGUCUUUUAGAACUGGGGCAUUACUUCAGGCCAUGAUAAAGAUCUGCCUUAAGAACCAUUUUAGGCUUUGGGCUUUUCAGGUUCAGGCUUACUGCAAUCCACACAUAUCUCCCAUGCUAUAUUUCUUGGAUCACUUAUUAAACUCUCAAAGUUC
Long non-coding RNA from Anguilla anguilla (European eel), 2237 nucleotides. RefSeq lists it as uncharacterized. Lineage: Eukaryota; Metazoa; Chordata; Actinopteri; Anguilliformes; Anguillidae. The transcript is spliced from 2 exons. The record is from RefSeq and is a predicted model, not a curated record.